This is a non-coding RNA of Conidiobolus coronatus NRRL 28638, 72 nucleotides long. Lineage: Eukaryota; Fungi; Entomophthoromycota; Entomophthoromycetes; Entomophthorales; Conidiobolaceae. The record is from the annotation of a GenBank genome assembly.
GGCUCAAUGGUCUAGUCGUACGAUUCUCCGUUCGGGUCGGAGAGGUCCCGGGUUCAAUUCCCGGUUGAGCCC